AAUUUAUGGAACGCCGCCGCCUGUUUGCGAGCCUCCUGAAACCUGUCAACGACAGUGUUGACUGCGUCGCCGAACAGGCCAGAAGGCUGGAUCGGGGCGUCCAUAAGGCAGACCUUGUCCCGCUCUUUCAUUUCAGACAGGGUCAGCCACAAAUGCCUCUCCGCGGCCACCAUAGCCAUGGACCGCCCAAUCGCUCGGGCGGUCUCCUUGGUGGCGCGGAGGGAGAGAUCAGCGGUCCUUCUGAGCUCAGUGAUGUCAUCGGACUUGAUCUCCUCUCCCUCAUCAAGCUCCUUCAGCAGGUCAGCCUGGUACGCCUGUAACACCGCCAUGGUGUGCAGACACGCACCAGCCUGACCUGCUGCCGCAUACCCUUUGCCCACCAGAGCCGACGUUGUUCUGAGCGGCUUGGAGGGCAAUGCCGGGGCCUUCAGAGACGAUGCAGUACCGGGGGACAGAUAGCUCGCGAGCGUCUGUUCCACCCGGGGCAUCGCUCUGUAGCCGCGCUCUGUAAUCCCCACUACAUUGCCGUAGUAAUCUGAAGAGGGGAUAUACAGGCGGGCUGAGAAUGGCCUCUUCCACGAUCUAGCGAUCUCUUCAUGUAGAUCGGGAAAGAAUGGAAGGCCCCGGCAAGGAGGUGGCUGACUCGCCCGCAGAAAGCGUUCAUCGAGCUUGCUUUUCUGCGGUUCGGUUGUUUUCUCGGCGGGCCAGUCAAGACUCAACUUGGCCACCGCACGAGUCACCACCUCCAAGAGCUCCUCAUACCUAGGCGAGUGGGGUGGCGAAUCCCUAUCGACAGACUCCACAUCGACCUCCUCGGAGGAAGAGAGGCGGAGUGUCGAUCCCUCUCCCUGGGUGGAAGGAACCGCAGAGCGUGCUUCCGACUCCAGAGAUUGGGCGCCGGAUCUGGCAGAAGUGGAAGGAGAUAGGGACUCGCCCGUCUCCAUUCCCUCUGUCAGAUCCACUUUCGAACCCCACGAGUGCAGCUGCCGCUCUGCCUCGGCAGAAGCGGGGCCAGCACCGCGGGGAACGCUGGCGAAGGCUCCCUCCUCAAAGAGAGCCCUCUGGGAACGAAGCAGCCGCACCGACAUCCUCUCACAAUGCGGACAGUCGGCCCCCUCGAGAGCCGACUCGGCGUGCUUCGAACCCAGGCAGACCACGCACAGACUGUGUGUAUCCCCGCUCGUAAUGUAGCGCGGGCAUGGAGGGACACACAGUCUGAAACGCGAUCCGGAUUCGCCCUUAGAAUGCUUAGAUUUCGCCUUACACUUGGACAUUGCUUGGAGCUCUACUGAACAGACAACAGUAAAUAAGACUCACAAGACAAAAUGACAUGCACACACAGAGCGCUUGCUGAAGACGCGAAGCUGAUGCCAGCUGCGCGGCAUGUGCUUUUAUAGCUUCCUGGUCGCUUACGUCACCCCGCCCGUGACGUCACGCUCUUCCAUUGGACUGAUUUCACACGAUAUUCAGAGUCGCUCACGC
This is a long non-coding RNA of Cyprinus carpio carpio, 1482 nucleotides long. The record is from Ensembl. Lineage: Eukaryota; Metazoa; Chordata; Actinopteri; Cypriniformes; Cyprinidae.